GCGUGAGUGGCGAAAUUGGUAGACGCGCAGGACUUAGGAUCCUGUGCCGCAAGGCGUGUGGGUUCGAGUCCCACCUCGCGCA
RNAcentral lists this transfer RNA (82 nucleotides) under Gemmatimonadaceae bacterium. Its description in RNAcentral is "tRNA-Leu". It matches the Rfam family "tRNA". Rfam says of the family: Transfer RNA (tRNA) molecules are approximately 80 nucleotides in length. Their secondary structure includes four short double-helical elements and three loops (D, anti-codon, and T loops). RNAcentral also lists the same sequence under 1 other name. Lineage: Bacteria; Pseudomonadati; Gemmatimonadota; Gemmatimonadia; Gemmatimonadales; Gemmatimonadaceae. The record is from RNAcentral.